RNAcentral lists this ribosomal RNA (301 nucleotides) under uncultured bacterium. Its description in RNAcentral is "partial 16S ribosomal RNA". It matches the Rfam family "Bacterial small subunit ribosomal RNA", at positions 509 to 807 of the family's 1533-position model. The record is from RNAcentral.
CAGUCGCCACGGUAAUACGGAGGGAGCUAGCGUUGUUCGGAAUCACUGGGCGUAAAGCGCACGUAGGCGGCUAUUCAAGUCAGGGGUGAAAGCCCGGGGCUCAACCCCGGAACUGCCUUUGAAACUAGAUAGCUUGAAUCUUGGGGAGGCGAGUGGAAUUCCGAGUGUAGAGGUGAAAUUCGUAGAUAUUCGGAAGAACACCAGUGGCGAAGGCGACUCGCUGGACAAGUAUUGACGCUGAGGUGCGAAAGCGUGGGGAGCAAACAGGAUUAGAUACCCCCGUAGUCCCUGUCUCUUAUAC